UACGUAGGCAGCGAGCGUUGUCCGGAUUUACUGGGCGUAAAGAGCGCGCAGGCGGUCGUACAAGUCGCGUGUGAAAGCCCCCGGCUCAACUGGGGAGGGUCACGCGAUACUGUUCGACUCGAAGGCAGGAGAGGGAAGCGGAAUUCCCGGUGUAGUGGUGAAAUGCGUAGAUAUCGGGAGGAACACCAGUGGCGAAGGCGGCUUCCUGGCCUGUUCUUGACGCUGAGGCGCGAAAGCUAGGGUAGCAAACGGG
RNAcentral lists this ribosomal RNA (253 nucleotides) under uncultured bacterium. RNAcentral's name for it is "partial 16S ribosomal RNA". It matches the Rfam family "Bacterial small subunit ribosomal RNA", at positions 524 to 776 of the family's 1533-position model. The record is from RNAcentral.